RNAcentral lists this ribosomal RNA (253 nucleotides) under uncultured bacterium. Its description in RNAcentral is "partial 16S ribosomal RNA". It matches the Rfam family "Bacterial small subunit ribosomal RNA", at positions 524 to 776 of the family's 1533-position model. The record is from RNAcentral.
UACGGAGGGUGCAAGCGUUAUCCGGAUUCACUGGGUUUAAAGGGUGCGUAGGUGGGCAGGUAAGUCAGUGGUGAAAUCGCCGGGCUUAACUCGGAAACUGCCAUUGAUACUAUCUGUCUUGAAUACCGUGGAGGUCAGCGGAAUAUGUCAUGUAGCGGUGAAAUGCUUAGAUAUGACAUAGAACACCAAUUGCGAAGGCAGCUGGCUACACGAAUAUUGACACUGAUGCACGAAAGCGUGGGGAUCAAACAGG